Molecule: ribosomal RNA, 497 nt
Filed under: uncultured bacterium
Lineage: Bacteria
Description: partial 16S ribosomal RNA
Rfam family: Bacterial small subunit ribosomal RNA
Source: RNAcentral
GACGAACGCUGGCGGCGUGCCUAAUGCAUGCAAGUAGAACGCUGAAGCGAGGAGCUUGCUCUUCUUGGAUGAGUUGCGAACGGGUGAGUAACGCGUAGGUAACCUGCCUUGUAGCGGGGGAUAACUAUUGGAAACGAUAGCUAAUACCGCAUAACAAUGGAUGACACAUGUCAUUUAUUUGAAAGGGGCAAUUGUUCCACUACAAGAUGGACCUGCGUUGUAUUAGCUAGUAGGUGAGGUAAUGGCUCACCUAGGCGACGAUGCAUAGCCGACCUGAGAGGGUGAUCGGCCACACUGGGACUGAGACACGGCCCAGACUCCUACGGGAGGCAGCAGUAGGGAAUCUUCGGCAAUGGGGGCAACCCUGACCGAGCAACGCCGCGUGAGUGAAGAAGGUUUUCGGAUCGUAAAGCUCUGUUGUAAGUCAAGAACGGGUGUGAGAGUGGAAAGUUCACACUGUGACGGUAGCUUACCAGAAAGGGACGGCUAACUACGUG